UUUGGCAUAGAGGGCAGUGUUGCUCAAUUCCCAUUCCCCAGCUAUAUAGUCUAUCCCUGGUUGGUAGUCUGUCCUGUAGGGCUAGCCACAGGUUGAACACUGCUUUUGGUCUGGCUUGGUUCUGUAAAAUUAAGUUCUUCCAUGGGACUGCUGGCACUUCUUGCAACUACGACUGGUACAACUGUCUAGUGGUGCAUUUCUGGUGUCUCCAGUUUUGGAUCCUUUGUAAGG
This 231-nucleotide long non-coding RNA is filed under the name Nicotiana benthamiana. RNAcentral's name for it is "long non-coding RNA (NBEN_LNC022918)". Lineage: Eukaryota; Viridiplantae; Streptophyta; Magnoliopsida; Solanales; Solanaceae. The record is from RNAcentral.